GUCUAUGACCAUGCCAUCCUGAACAAGCCCGAUUCCAUCUGAUCUUGGAAGCUAAGCAGGGUCAGACCUGGUUAGUACUUGGAGAUCACCUAUAGGAAGACGAGGUGCCGUAGGCG
Molecule: ribosomal RNA, 116 nt
Filed under: Pteropus alecto (black flying fox)
Lineage: Eukaryota; Metazoa; Chordata; Mammalia; Chiroptera; Pteropodidae
Source: RNAcentral